This 446-nucleotide ribosomal RNA is filed under the name uncultured bacterium. RNAcentral describes it as "partial 16S ribosomal RNA". It matches the Rfam family "Bacterial small subunit ribosomal RNA", at positions 338 to 795 of the family's 1533-position model. The record is from RNAcentral.
CCUACGGGAGGCAGCAGUCGAGAAUCAUUCACAAUGGGGGAAACCCUGAUGGUGCGACGCCGCGUGGGGGAAUGAAGGUCUUCGGAUUGUAAACCCCUGUCAUGUGGGAGCAAAUUAAAAAGAUAGUACCACACGAGGAAGAGACGGCUAACUCUGUGCCAGCAGCCGCGGUAAUACAGAGGUCUCAAGCGUUGUUCGGAAUCACUGGGCGUAAAGCGUGCGGAGGCUGUUUCGUAAGUCGUGUGUGAAAGGCGCGGGCUCAACCCGCGGACGGCACAUGAUACUGCGAGACUAGAGUAAUGGAGGGGGAACCGGAAUUCUCGGUGUAGCAGUGAAAUGCGUAGAUAUCGAGAGGAACACUCGGGGCGAAGGCGGGUUCCUGGACAUUAACUGACGCUGAGGCACGAAGGCCAGGGGAGCGAAAGGGAUUAGAUACCCUAGUAGUC